Molecule: ribosomal RNA, 583 nt
Filed under: uncultured Alphaproteobacteria bacterium
Lineage: Bacteria; Pseudomonadati; Pseudomonadota; Alphaproteobacteria
Description: bacterial SSU rRNA
Rfam family: Bacterial small subunit ribosomal RNA
Source: RNAcentral
AUUGGGCCCGACGUCGCAUGCUCCCGGCCGCCAUGGCGGCCGCGGGAAUUCGAUUAGAGUUUGAUCAUGGCUCAGAACGAACGCUGGCGGCAUGCCUAACACAUGCAAGUCAAACGAACCCUUCGGGGUUAGUGGCGCACGGGUGCGUAACGCGUGGGAAUCUGCCCUUGGCUUCGGAAUAACAGUUAGAAAUGACUGCUAAUACCGGAUGAUGUCUUCGGACCAAAGAUUUAUCGGCCAGGGAUGAGCCCGCGUAGGAUUAGGUAGUUGGUGGGGUAAAGGCCUACCAAGCCGACGAUCCUUAGCUGGUCUGAGAGGAUGAUCAGCCACACUGGGACUGAGACACGGCCCAGACUCCUACGGGAGGCAGCAGUGGGGAAUAUUGGACAAUGGGCGCAAGCCUGAUCCAGCAAUGCCGCGUGAGUGAUGAAGGCCUUAGGGUCGUAAAGCUCUUUUACCCGGGAUGAUAAUGACAGUACCGGGAGAAUAAGCUCCGGCUAACUCCGUGCCAGCAGCCGCGGUAAUACGAAUCACUAGUGAAUUCGCGGCCGCCUGCAGGUCGACCAUAUGGGAGAGCUCCCAA